RNAcentral lists this ribosomal RNA (818 nucleotides) under Xenovaginatispora phichaiensis. Its description in RNAcentral is "Dothideomycetes sp. SB-2021a partial large subunit ribosomal RNA". It matches the Rfam family "Eukaryotic large subunit ribosomal RNA", at positions 100 to 935 of the family's 3401-position model. The record is from RNAcentral. Lineage: Eukaryota; Fungi; Ascomycota; Dothideomycetes; Pleosporales; Lindgomycetaceae.
GGCAACAGCUCAAAUUUGAAAUCUGGCUCCCUUGGGGGUCCGAGUUGUAAUUUGUAGAGGGUGCUUUGGCGUUGGCCGUGGCCUAAGUUCCUUGGAACAGGACGUCACAGAGGGUGAGAAUCCCGUAUGUGGCCGGCGGCCUUCGCCUUGUAUAGCCCCUUCGACGAGUCGAGUUGUUUGGGAAUGCAGCUCUAAAUGGGAGGUAAAUUUCUUCUAAAGCUAAAUAUUGGCCAGAGACCGAUAGCGCACAAGUAGAGUGAUCGAAAGAUGAAAAGCACUUUGGAAAGAGAGUCAAAAAGCACGUGAAAUUGUUGAAAGGGAAGCGCUUGCAGCCAGACUUGCCUGUGGUUGCUCAGCCGGGCUUCUGCCCGGUGCACUCUUCCGCAGGCAGGCCAGCAUCAGUUCGGGCGGUCGGAUAAAGGUCUUGGGAAUGUGGCUCUCUUCGGGGAGUGUUAUAGCCCGAGACGCAAUGCGACCAGCCUGGACUGAGGUCCGCGCAUCUGCCAGGAUGCUGGCGUAAUGGCUGUAAGCGGCCCGUCUUGAAACACGGACCAAGGAGUCUAACAUCUAUGCGAGUGUUUGGGUGUCAAGCCCGGACGCGUAAUGAAAGUGAACGGAGGUGGGAACCCGCAAGGGCGCACCAUCGACCGAUCCUGAUGUCUUCGGAUGGAUUUGAGUAAGAGCAUAGCUGUUGGGACCCGAAAGAUGGUGAACUAUGCCUGAAUAGGGUGAAGCCAGAGGAAACUCUGGUGGAGGCUCGCAGCGGUUCUGACGUGCAAAUCGAUCGUCAAAUUUGGGCAUAGGGGCGAAAGACUAAU